GGGCCCGCACAAGCGGUGGAGCAUGUGGUUUAAUUCGAUGCAACGCGAAGAACCUUACCAGGCCUUGACAUCCUCGGAACUUUCUAGAGAUAGAUUGGUGCCUUCGGGAACCGAGUGACAGGUGCUGCAUGGCUGUCGUCAGCUCGUGUCGUGAGAUGUUGGGUUAAGUCCCGUAACGAGCGCAACCCUUGUCCUUAGUUGCCAGCACAUUAUGGUGGGAACUCUAAGGAGACUGCCGAUGACAAAUCGGAGGAAGGUGGGGACGACGUCAAGUCAUCAUGGCCCUUACGUGUAGGGCUACACACGUGCUACAAUGGUAUCUACAACAGGAAGCAAGACUGCGAAGUUAAGCAAAUCCCUAAAAGAUACCUCAGUUCGGAUUGCACUCUGCAACUCGAGUGCAUG
Molecule: ribosomal RNA, 405 nt
Filed under: uncultured bacterium
Lineage: Bacteria
Description: bacterial SSU rRNA
Rfam family: Bacterial small subunit ribosomal RNA
Source: RNAcentral